RNAcentral lists this long non-coding RNA (2731 nucleotides) under Homo sapiens (human). Its description in RNAcentral is "p53 upregulated regulator of p53 levels". Lineage: Eukaryota; Metazoa; Chordata; Mammalia; Primates; Hominidae. The record is from RNAcentral.
CUCUUGAGCUCUUGUGGUGACCUGGGAAUCAAUGUGUGAGGUGGUGCUAUGUAGCAGGAACCCCUCUUGCUUUGCAAAUAGUUUUUUGUUUGUUUUCCUUUUUGCCCAAUAGAGCCCUGCUCUACUGACCCUUCAAUGUGCCCGUGUGCCUAAAUAUUCCUGGUCGUGUGAAAAGAACCCAGGUAUUAGCUGAACUAAGGAGCACAAUUCUGCAACAUUUUGGCACCCAAACACGGGGCUUGAGAAAUGAAUGCAAUUGGAGAAACUGGUUGUUUUACCAGGCGUUGAUUGGAAAUGUGUGCUUCCCUUUAAGCAGUCAAGCUCAACUUGCAGAACUGAUGGGAACCCCUUGGGAAAACUGGCCUCAAAUGUUUGUCUACACAGUCCACAUACAGGGUUCUUAACCUGCGACUGACCCUGCUUGUGCCUGUGAACCAACCAACAAUCUCUGGCUGCAGCUCAGAAAGGACAAAAGAGAAUGGGCCAUCAAACUCCAGUCUGCACCUGGAGCCUUGGAUGAUGGCCUUUUUUACUGGGAACCCUGAAAUAGGCCUCUGAGGGAAAUCUGAUUGCCAUUUUCCCAAAACAGCUUCCCUGACAAUAGGAAGCAAUUAAGAUUGGUCUUCAUCCUUAUCUUUAUCCUUAUUCUAAUGGCAGUUAGAGGUACUUCUUUAGAGGGGGGAAUGAGACAGCCAAAUGCCUAGGCAGAUAAAAAGGUGUACCUGGAAAAUUUCCAACCCGUCACACAAGUGUUUACAUCAGAUGCUUUUGUGUAGAUGAGGGAAACUUCCCAGGGCUUGUCUGGGUAUGCCCACAGUGGACUGGAGCCCAAAAUGCACACUGGAGGAAGUGGAUGGAGCCACGUGGAUGUCAUGCCUUAUGCAGGGGAGGAGCCUGCUCUCUUCAGCUCCUGUGGUAAUGUGGGAAUCGAUCUGUGAGGUGAGGACCUGUUAGCAGGAACCCCUCUUGCUUUGCUGAAAGUUUUAUUUUUCUUUUUGCCCUAUAAAACCCUGUUCUACUAACCCUUCAAUAUGUCUGCAUUCCUAAAUUUUCCUGGUCAUGUGACGAGAACCUAGGUUUUAGCUGAACUAAGGAGCAAAAUUCUGCAACAUAAAGUCAAAGAAAACUAUGCCUAUAUCCAUUAAAUCAAAUGUUAAAAAGCAAAUAUAAAGAAAAAGUCUUCACAGCCCUAGAGAAAAGUGAAACAUUGUACAUAAAGAAGUAAUAAUUUGAAUGGAUUGUCAGAAACCAUGACUAGAAGACAGAGGAGCAAUAUUUUCAAAUUUCAUAGAGAAAGGAAAAAAAGAAAAGAAGAAAAAAAAGAAGACAUAAUAAAACACCUGUCAUUUUAGUAUUCUGUACCCAUUGAACAUAACCUUCAAUAGAAUGUGAAGUAGACAUAUUCAGGUGAAUAAAAAAUCAAGAGAAUAAUAGUUAUGUUCUACAUGAAAUUAUAAAGGAAAUUUCUCAGACUAGGUGGAAAUUAUACUAGUGAGAAACAGAUUUGAAGGACUAAAGGAAGAGAUGAUAGACUGACAAAGUCAAUUUUUAAAAGCCAGAUCUAACUUCUUAUUGGCUACAAGGAAUCCACUUUUAAUAUACAAAAAUAGGUAAUAAUUAAAUUGCUAGAAAAUACAUUUCAAAUAAAGAAUCAGCACAUGUAGCUUGGAGAAGAUAUAUUAACAUAAAAAGGACUUCAAUAAAAGGAGUAUUAUGAGAAGACAUUUAUGCAGCCAAAAAACACAUGAAAAAAUGCUCACCAUCACUGGCCAUCAGAGAAAUGCAAAUCAAAACCACAAUGAGAUACCAUCUCACACCAGUUAGAAUGGCAAUCAUUAAAAAGUCAGGAAACAACAGGUGCUGGAGAGGAUGUGGAGAAAUAGGAACACUUUUACACUGUUGGUGGGACUGUAAACUAGUUCAACCAUUGUGGAAGUCAGUGUGGUGAUUCCUCAGGGAUCUAGAACUGGAAAUACCAUUUGACCCAGCCAUCCCAUUACUGGGUGUAUACCCAAAGGACUAUAAAUCAUGCUUCUAUAAAGACACAUGCACAGGUAUGUUUAUUGCGGCACUAUUCACAAUAGCAAAGACCUGGAACCAACCCAAAUGUCCAACAAUGAUAGACUGGAUUAAGAAAAUGUGGCACAUAUACACCAUGGAAUACUAUGCAGCCAUAAAAAAUGAUGAGUUCAUGUCCUUUGUAGGGACAUGGAUGAAAUUGGAAAUCAUCAUUCUCAGUAAACUAUCACAAGGACAAAAAACCAAACACCACAUAUUCUCACUCAUAGGUGGGAAUUGAACAAUGAGAUCACAUGGACACGGGAAAGGGAACAUCACACUCUGGGGACUGUUGUGGGGUGGGGGGAGAGGGGAGGGAUAGCAUUAGGAGAUAUACCUAAUGCUAAAUGAUGAGUUAAUGAGUGCAGCACACCAGCAUGGCACAUGUAUACAUAUGUAACUAACCUUUACGUUGUGCACAUGUACCCUAAAACUUAAAGUAUAAUAAUAAUAAAAUAAAAUAAAAUAAAAAUUUAUCAGAAAAACAAUAUCAAUUAUAAUGUAUAUACCUAAUAAGAGAGCUCAAAAUAUUUGAAACAAAUCUGACAGAAUUAAAAAGAAGAAUGGAUAAAUUCACAAUUAUAGAAAAAGAUUAUACACCAGUUUCUUAAUAAUUGAUACAACCACUGGAGAAAUAAUAAGAAAGCAAAAAUAAAGACAUAGAUCCAAAUAA